CUCACCANNACGAUGAUGCAUAGCCGAGUUGAGAGACUGAUCGGCCACAAUGGGACUGAGACACGGCCCAUACUCCUACGGGAGGCAGCAGUAGGGAAUCUUCCACAAUGGGCGAAAGCCUGAUGGAGCAACGCCGCGUGUGUGAUGAAGGNUUUCGGCUCGUAAAACACUGUUGUAAGAGAAGAAUGACAUUGAGAGUAACUGUUCAAUGUGUGACGGUAUCUUACCAGAAAGGAACGGCUAAAUACGUGCCAGCAGCCNNG
Molecule: ribosomal RNA, 263 nt
Filed under: Weissella cibaria
Lineage: Bacteria; Bacillati; Bacillota; Bacilli; Lactobacillales; Lactobacillaceae
Description: partial 16S ribosomal RNA
Rfam family: Bacterial small subunit ribosomal RNA
Source: RNAcentral